CCUACGGGAGGCAGCAGUAGGGAAUCUUCCGCAAUGGACGAAAGUCUGACGGAGCAACGCCGCGUGAACGAUGAAGGCCUUCGGGUCGUAAAGUUCUGUUGUUAGGGAAGAACAAGUGCUAGUUGAAUAAGCUGGCACCUUGACGGUACCUAACCAGAAAGCCACGGCUAACUACGUGCCAGCAGCCGCGGUAAUACGUAGGUGGCAAGCGUUGUCCGGAAUUAUUGGGCGUAAAGCGCGCGCAGGCGGUUUCUUAAGUCUGAUGUGAAAGCCCCCGGCUCAACCGGGGAGGUCAUUGGAAACUGGGAAACUUGAGUGCAGAAGAGGAAAGUGGAAUUCCAAGUGUAGCGGUGAAAUGCGUAGAGAUUUGGAGGAACACCAGUGGCGAAGGCGACUUUCUGGUCUGUAACUGACGCUGAGGCGCGAAAGCGUGGGGAGCAAACAGGAUUAGAUACCCUGGUAGUCCACGCUGUAAACGAUGAGUGCUAAGUGUUAGAGGGUUUCCGCCUUUAGUGCUGAGUUAACGCAUCAAGCNCNCGCGNGGAGAGCGNGAGAGUAAGUAAUAAUUAGAGUAGAGNGNGNGNGNGCGAGACGACGACGAGGAGAGG
RNAcentral lists this ribosomal RNA (608 nucleotides) under uncultured bacterium. RNAcentral describes it as "bacterial SSU rRNA". The stretch from base 1 to 541 matches the Rfam family "Bacterial small subunit ribosomal RNA", at positions 338 to 873 of the family's 1533-position model. The record is from RNAcentral.